Bos taurus (domestic cattle) is the source of this 1250-nucleotide long non-coding RNA. The record is from Ensembl. Lineage: Eukaryota; Metazoa; Chordata; Mammalia; Artiodactyla; Bovidae.
ACUAACCGGAAGUGCUGCGGGCCCUGGACCCAGCGCCAUUUCAGUGGAUCCUGCUUUGGACCCGGCAGCCCCUCUCUCGUCUUCCCUCACCCAGCUCUGCGCCCUGCGACACCUCAUCAGGGCCUGGGGCGGGGGUGCUGCGGCCUUUCACUCACUUGACCCGUCAUCUCUCCCAGCCAUCCUGCGGGGACAAGCACAGAAUAGUGGGGCGGCCCAGAGCGCAGGCCCUGAUCAGACUGUCGUGGGUGAUGUCCCAGCUUUACCGCUCAUGGGGUUCCCAAGAUCCUGACGGCCGAUGUGACCUCUGAGCCUGUUUUCUCAUCUGAAGGUUGGAGACAGCGUUCACCUCAAAGGGUUUCUGUGAGACGCUACUGUUACUGCUGCUGCUAAGUCGCUUCAGUCGUGUCCGACUCGGUGCGACCCCAUAGACGGCAGCUCACCAGGCUCCCCCGUCCCUGGGAUUCUCCAGGCAAGAACACUGGAGUGGGUUGCCAUGUCCUUCUCCAAUGCAUGAAAGUGAAAAGUGAAAGUGAAGUCGCUCAGUCGUGUCCGACUCUUAGCGACCCCAUGGACCGCAGCCCACCAGGCUCCUCCGCCCAUGGGAUUUUCCAGGCAAGAGUACUGGAAUGGGGUGCCAUUGCCUUUUCCGCCGUGAGACGCUAGAUGCGUGCUGAAAUACAUUCUGCAUUUCGAGAUGCUAAGCAGUUGUCAUUUUGCAGGUGACGAAACUGAAACUCAAUGAGACCAGCGGUCAAGUUCCCGCUGGUAGGAGGUGGCAGGAACCGGGGUUCUGACUGCGUGUGUCUGGCUCUGGAGCCCACGCUGCUGUCCCCACAGGCCACCCCUCUCUUUUGUCCCUUGGAGCACCUUCACAUGGGCCCACAGAGAAGCCAAGAAGCAAGGAUGGCAGCAGCAGAGCUGUACGGCGGCCCCACCCCUCUGGCUUUUCCCCGGUCAGAGGCUGCCGGGCCCAGAGGACAGCAGUCCCCCCUGCAGCAGACUGGGCAGCCUGCUGCUUGCAUCUGCUCUCUGAGGGCCUCAGUGUCUCCGAACAUAUAACAAUCGUGACUGUCUCGUCAUUCUGCGCUUUUGCGACCUCAAACCCCAGGAGGCCUCAGGGACCCAGACUCGCCUGGAGGUGGGAGGCCUGCCUGCCUCUCGGAGCAGACCAGGCCCUGCCCCAAAUAUGCCUCUUAGGUUUUCCUGCCACCUGGCCUGACACCCCAACCACCCCAGCUGCACCUCUGCAC